This 303-nucleotide long non-coding RNA is filed under the name Fukomys damarensis (Damara mole-rat). Its description in RNAcentral is "lncRNA (ENSFDAG00000032562.1)". The record is from RNAcentral. Lineage: Eukaryota; Metazoa; Chordata; Mammalia; Rodentia; Bathyergidae.
CCAGGAUACAGUGUCUUAGCCUGAUAAGAGCUCUGACCUCCUGGGCUCCCCAUUUAUGCAGUAAAGAUCUUGUCUUGUCUUUUGUUAUCCCGCUACUACAUGCUUGGUAAGGUCAGUGGAGGUCUGAUCAGCUUCCAAUGAUAAGUUGGAACUGCUUUGGGGAUCCCAGAGAAUAACUGCAUCUUCAUAAUCAGUGUGACUUACAGGGGCACUGACUUUGCUGGGAAUGAAUUUUGUCACAGAUCUAGGACUAAACUUGAGCUCUGAACCUGUACUCUUUUAUAGACCAAGCUUCUGCCCCAA